UCGCCGCCUGCAUUGCUCCUACGAGCUGCUGCUGCCUUCUCAGAGCUGAAGUAUCCUCCAAGCAGCUGCCUACCCCCUCCUCCGCCCGCAACAGCACCUCUUCCCCCUCCUCCUCCUUUUAACACCUGGGGCGACUUGGGGCGAUUAAUCACGACGAUUCGCAGACUAAUCACAGCGAGCCACUAGUCGGAGGCAUGGCGACUCGACUUGGCUAGGCGACUCAAAAACCUUGCUUAACUCUCAUCUGAUUUCUCUAUUAACCUUCUAUGUUCACAUAGACAAAAAACUUAGAUCCUGGUUGCGUUGCUAUACUACAGCUUCACAUUUGAUAAUCACAAUCUAGAGAUUGAAAUUCAUGAAGUUGUCAAUUGCUUUCUGAAUGUUAUUUUAGAUGGUUUUCCUAAAUUCUGUUCUAGUUGUCAUAUUUAGAUAAUUUCUUCAAGGCUGCUCCGAGCGACAACGGGAGCGGAUCUGAAGGAGCCUCGGGCUCCUUCUCGACAACCACACACCGGCAGAGGAGUCAGGGCCCUUCUCCUUGGGAUGCCUCCAUGGACAGCAGCCGCAGCCAUGGAGCGCGUCAACAUCCCUCCUAGCGGCCAGAGGAGCAAGGCCAACAUCGGGAUUUGCCCACUGCAUCCUCUCUAGCGCUUCUAGUCACCGAGCGCUCGACUCUAUGGACGACGACUAGGACCCCAUGCCCAAGCUGGCGAGGAGGACAUCAUCUAGUCCAACCUGGACUACGACCACAAAGACACCCUGCACAAGUAAUCGAUGACCAACCCUGCCAAGUUAUCCAAAUAAGCAAUUCAUGGAUGGAGUCCAGCAGCUAAUCCAUCCAUCCAUCUCUAAGAAGAAGAAGCAGAAGAAUCAAAGAAGAUGGCGAUCCUCAUGGGUUCGUCGUCGGAGAAGAAGGGCCUCUUCUCUUCAUCAACGCCAAGAGCAACCACUGACCCAGAACUCAA
Triticum aestivum (bread wheat) is the source of this 962-nucleotide long non-coding RNA. RefSeq lists it as uncharacterized. NCBI's taxonomy places the organism in Eukaryota, Viridiplantae, Streptophyta, Magnoliopsida, Poales, Poaceae. The record is from RefSeq and is a predicted model, not a curated record. The transcript has 3 exons.